Molecule: ribosomal RNA, 492 nt
Filed under: uncultured bacterium
Lineage: Bacteria
Description: partial 16S ribosomal RNA
Rfam family: Bacterial small subunit ribosomal RNA
Source: RNAcentral
AGUGAACGCUGGCGGUAGGCCUAACACAUGCAAGUCGAACGGCAGCACAGUAAGAGCUUGCUCUUACGGGUGGCGAGUGGCGGACGGGUGAGGAAUACAUCGGAAUCUACUUUUUCGUGGGGGAUAACGUAGGGAAACUUACGCUAAUACCGCAUACGACCUCCGGGUGAAAGCAGGGGAUCUUCGGACCUUGCGCGAUUGAAUGAGCCGAUGUCGGAUUAGCUAGUUGGCGGGGUAAAGGCCCACCAAGGCGACGAUCCGUAGCGGGUCUGAGAGGAUGAGCAGCCACACUGGAACUGAGACACGGUCGAGACUCCUACGGGAGGCAGCAGUGGGGAAUAUUGGACAAUGGGCGCAAGCCUGAUCCAGCCAUACCGCGUGAGUGAAGAAGGCCUUCGGGUUGUAAAGCCCUUUUGUUGGGAAAGAAAAGCAGCAGGUUAAUACCCCGCUGUUCUGACGGUACCCAAAGAAUAAGCACCGGCUAACUUCGUG